RNAcentral lists this ribosomal RNA (496 nucleotides) under uncultured bacterium. Its description in RNAcentral is "partial 16S ribosomal RNA". It matches the Rfam family "Bacterial small subunit ribosomal RNA", at positions 28 to 506 of the family's 1533-position model. The record is from RNAcentral.
GAUGAACGCUGGCGGCGUGCCUAAUACAUGCAAGUCGAGCGAACAGACGAGGAGCUUGCUCCUCUGACGUUAGCGGCGGACGGGUGAGUAACACGUGGAUAACCUACCUAUAAGACUGGGAUAACUUCGGGAAACCGGAGCUAAUACCGGAUAAUAUAUUGAACCGCAUGGUUCAAUAGUGAAAGACGGUUUUGCUGUCACUUAUAGAUGGAUCCGCGCCGCAUUAGCUAGUUGGUAAGGUAACGGCUUACCAAGGCAACGAUGGGUAGCCGACCUGAGAGGGGGAUCGGCCACACUUGAACUGAGACACGGUCCAGACUCCUACGGGAGGCAGCAGUAGGGAAUCUACCGCAAUGGGCGAAAGCCUGACGGAUCAACGCCGCGUGAGUGAUGAAGGUCUUCGGAUCGUAAAACUCUGUUAUUAGGGAAGAACAAAUGUGUAAGUAACUAUGCACGUCUUGACGGUACCUAAGCAGAAAGCCACGGCUAACUACGU